GAUGAACGCUGGCGGCGUGCCUAAUACAUGCAAGUCGAGCGAACAGACGAGAAGCUUGCUCCUCUGAUGUUAGCGGCGGACGGGUGAGUAACACGUGGAUAACCUACCUAUAAGACUGGGAUAACUUCGGGAAACCGGAGCUAAUACCGGAUAAUAUAUUGAACCGCAUGGUUCAAAAGUGAAAGACGGUCUUGCUGUCACUUAUAGAUGGAUCCGCGCUGCAUUAGCUAGUUGGUAAGGUAACGGCUUACCAAGGCAACGAUGCAUAGCCGACCUGAGAGGGUGAUCGGCCACACUGGAACUGAGACACGGUCCAGACUCCUACGGGAGGCAGCAGUAGGGAAUCUUCCGCAAAGGGCGAAAGCCUGACGGAGCAACGCCGCGUGAGUGAUGAAGGUCUUCGGAUCGUAAAACUCUGUUAUUAGGGAAGAACAAAUGUGUAAGUAACUAUGCACGUCUUGACGGUACCUAAUCAGAAAGCCACGGCUAACUACGUG
Molecule: ribosomal RNA, 497 nt
Filed under: uncultured bacterium
Lineage: Bacteria
Description: partial 16S ribosomal RNA
Rfam family: Bacterial small subunit ribosomal RNA
Source: RNAcentral